RNAcentral lists this long non-coding RNA (1255 nucleotides) under Anolis carolinensis (green anole). Its description in RNAcentral is "lncRNA (ENSACAG00000036437.1)". Lineage: Eukaryota; Metazoa; Chordata; Lepidosauria; Squamata; Anolidae. The record is from RNAcentral.
UACGUGGGGCUGCCUCUGAAGAGUGCUUGGAAACUUCAGCUGGUCCAUAGACCUGCAGCCGGGUUGCUCACUGGGGCUGGCUACAGGGAGUGGACAAUCCCACUGCUGAAGCAACUCCACUGGCUGCCAGUCUAUUUCUGGGCACAAUUCAAAGUGCUGGUUAAGACCUUUAAAGCUCUAGAUGGUUCCGGUCCAAGCUAUUUGGCUGACUGCAUCCCUUUGUACAAACCUGUUCAGGCCCUGAGAUCUUCAGGAGAGGCCCUUCUCUUGGUUCCACUUCCAUCUCAAGCUCAGUUGUUGAAACUUGAUACCUCUAGUCGUCGUGGUGCUAUAGCGGAGGGUAUCACUGCCACUUCUCCGCCAUCGGGGGAGGAGGCCUUUGUGAGAGGGGAUAGUGUUAUGAUUGAGCCUCAUGGCUCUGUUACUGACAGACGUGGGCGUAAGACUCCUCGAGAGUCAGAUACUCUCGAGGAGCGAGAGAGAAAAAGACUGCGAGACAUAUUUGCAGCACCAUCUGACGAGGAGUCUUUCGAAGGGUUUACGGAGAGAAUGGAGGAGGGGCUGGUUAGCUCAGAGGAGGAUGAGAUGGAUUGGACUCGGGUAAGGGAGGAAGUGGGUGCCACUGGCCAUGAUGGGACAGAAGAUGAAUGGGGACCUUCAGGAUUAGACCCAUGGUUUAGCUGGAGGGAUGGGACGGGAUCCACAGCUGGAGAUGCUGUUGGGCGUAGUCAGAGGUGUUCCAGCUCUGACGAGGAAAGUGAUGAGGAAACGCCCGGGUUAAGGAGGACAGCUGACAGUGAUGAGGAAACGCCCGGGUUAAGGAGGACAGCUGACAGUGAUGAGGAAACGCCCGGGUUAAGGAGGACAGCUGACAGUGAUGAAGAUUUGUACUGGCAUAAAAUGGGGCUUGAGAGCAAUUGCAAAUUGCGUUGGGCAAGGUAAUCUGGGCAAACGCUUGGGAUCCGUGUGUGUGUGGGACGCUUCCCUGAAGACUUGUGUGCUUUCCUGUGCUGUGACGUAAGUUGAUUGGAAUCCAGGGUCAGACGGCGGGAGGGAUUGUGUGGGCAUUUGUUUGUGCAAACCUGUGCUUACUCUUAUUAGCUUGACCUUCCGUCGUCUUCUUGACGGACGCCAUCUCCUGCUUUGAGAACUCGGACUGAACUGACCACGGCUUGUCUUCCCCCCUUCUUGGACUUGGAAAAACUACAAACGUCUGCUUCUGGCUUUGAUCUACGGAACGGAACUGGUCUACUCA